CUCUUUUUGAAAAUAAUUUAAAGUUGGGCCUGCCCACUGAAUUUUGAAGGGCCGCAGUAUUUUGACUGUGCAAAGGUAGCAUAAUCAUUAGUUUUUUAAUUGAAAGCUUGUAUGAAUGGUUUGAUGAAAAAAUAGCUGUUUCAAUUUUAAUUUUUAGAAUUUUAUUUUUAAGUUAAAAAGCUUAAAUUUUAUUUAAAGACGAGAAGACCCUAUAGAGUUUAACUAAAAUUUAAAUUUUAAAAUAAAGAAUUUUGAGUUUAAUAUUUAAAUUAAGUUUUGUUGGGGUGACAGAAAAAUUAAAAUAACUUUUUUUUUAUUUAUACAAUUAUUUUUGAUUUUUUGAUCCAUUUAAAAUGAUUAAAAGAAUAAAUUACCUUAGGGAUAACAGCGUAAUUUUUUUAAAGAGUUCUUAUCGAAAAAAAAGAUUGCGACCUCGAUGUUGGAUUAAAAUUAAUUUUUGGUGUAGAAGCUAAAAAAUUAGGUCUGUUCGACCUUUGAAAUUUUACAUGAUCUGAGUUUAAACCGGUGUAAGCCAGGUUGGUUUCUAUCUUAAAUUUAGUUAAUAUUUUAGUACGAAAGGAUCAAAUAUUAUAUUAAUAAUAAAAAAAAUUAGAAUUUUAUUUUGGCAGAAUAGUGCGAAGGAUUUAGAAUCUUUUUAUGUAUUUAAUUACAAAUAAAAAUUGAUUUAUUAUUAAUUUUAAUUAAUUUUUUAUUGUUAUUUAUUGGUAUUUUAGUAGGGGUAGCUUUUUUAACAUUAUUGGAACGUAAAUUAUU
This 774-nucleotide ribosomal RNA is filed under the name Chnootriba similis. Its description in RNAcentral is "partial 16S ribosomal RNA". The stretch from base 1 to 575 matches the Rfam family "Bacterial large subunit ribosomal RNA", at positions 1826 to 2925 of the family's 2925-position model. Lineage: Eukaryota; Metazoa; Arthropoda; Insecta; Coleoptera; Coccinellidae. The record is from RNAcentral.